Molecule: long non-coding RNA, 558 nt
Organism: Bombus huntii
Lineage: Eukaryota; Metazoa; Arthropoda; Insecta; Hymenoptera; Apidae
Exons: 2
Source: RefSeq, a predicted model, not a curated record
GUACGAUAUUAAAAUUAAAAAAAUAUUAGAAAGGCUUCCAAUCUAACGUGCUCGAUUACGAUCAAGUUAUAUCUAUUAUUUCCGUUGUUGGACGUACAGCGGAGAUCGUAUCCGCGACAUUUCGAUGAAUUUCAUCCUUUAAUUUCUACGUUGUCGAAUAUAGAGGAAAUGAUAAUAAUCGGAUACUGUAUCGGAUAGAGAGAGGGCAAGCAAACGAAAGGCAGACACUAUGGAAUUCCGAAACAAACAGGAAAUUUACGCGUAUCAUAAAACACCGGCUGCCAGGAUAAUACGUAUUUACCGAGUUGCUGGUAAAGAAGGAACGCCGUUCCUUGUACAUUUUGCUGGAGGAGUGUUGCAAGUAAACUUGGGAAAGUCACCACGAGAGGGCAGUCGUGUCGGUACUGCGUCGGUACAAGGAAACUAUAUCAGUUUAGUGCAUUUAAAUUCAUUUUUCCUAAAAUUUGGAUUUCAAAGUUACGUUAUCGUUGCAGCAAAUGAACGAUAUAUAUAUAUUAUAUAUAAAUAUAUAUAUAAAAAAUAUAAAAAAUAGAAAAA